RNAcentral lists this microRNA (17 nucleotides) under Corchorus olitorius. Its description in RNAcentral is "ptc-miR482a". The record is from RNAcentral. Lineage: Eukaryota; Viridiplantae; Streptophyta; Magnoliopsida; Malvales; Malvaceae.
AAUACUCCUCCCAUUCC